Molecule: ribosomal RNA, 436 nt
Filed under: uncultured bacterium
Lineage: Bacteria
Description: bacterial SSU rRNA
Rfam family: Bacterial small subunit ribosomal RNA
Source: RNAcentral
ACAGAACGACGCUGGCGGCAUGCCUAACACAUGCAAGUCGAACGAGACCUUCGGGUCUAGUGGCGCACGGGUGCGUAACACGUGGAAUUUGCCUCGGGGUAUGGAAUAACUCAGGGAAACUUGAGCUAAUACCAUAUAAUGUCUUCGGACCAAAGAUUUAUCGCCCUGAGAUAAGCCCGCGUAGGAUUAGCUAGUUGGUGAGGUAAGAGCUCACCCAAGGCGACGAUCCUUAGCUGGUCUGAGAGGAUGAUCAGCCACACUGGGACUGAGACACGGCCCAGACUCCUACGGGAGGCAGCAGUGGGGAAUAUUGGACAAUGGGCGAAAGCCUGAUCCAGCAAUGCCGCGUGAGUGAUGAAGGCCUUCGGGUUGUAAAGCUCUUUUGCCCGGGACGAUAAUGACGGUACCGGGAGAAUAAGCCCCGGCUAACUCCGUG